GACGAACGCUGGCGGCGUGCUUAACACAUGCAAGUCGAACGGAAAGGCCCUGCUUUUGUGGGGUGCUCGAGUGGCGAACGGGUGAGUAACACGUGAGUAACCUGCCCUUGACUUUGGGAUAACUUCAGGAAACUGGGGCUAAUACCGGAUAGGAUCUCCUGCUGCAUGGUGGGGGUUGGAAAGUUUCGGCGGUUGGGGAUGGACUCGCGGCUUAUCAGCUUGUUGGUGGGGUAGUGGCUUACCAAGGCUUUGACGGGUAGCCGGCCUGAGAGGGUGACCGGCCACAUGGGGACUGAGAUACGCCCCAGAAGCCUACGGGCGGCAGCAGUGGGAAAUAUUGCACAAUGGGCGGAAGCCUGAUGCAGCAACGCCGCGUGCGGGAUGACGGCCUUCGGGUUGUAAACCGCUUUCGCCUGUGACGAAGCGUGAGUGACGGUAAUGGGUAAAGAAGCACCGGCUAACUACGUG
RNAcentral lists this ribosomal RNA (468 nucleotides) under uncultured bacterium. RNAcentral's name for it is "partial 16S ribosomal RNA". It matches the Rfam family "Bacterial small subunit ribosomal RNA", at positions 28 to 507 of the family's 1533-position model. The record is from RNAcentral.